This 492-nucleotide ribosomal RNA is filed under the name uncultured bacterium. RNAcentral's name for it is "partial 16S ribosomal RNA". It matches the Rfam family "Bacterial small subunit ribosomal RNA", at positions 31 to 507 of the family's 1533-position model. The record is from RNAcentral.
AGGGAACGCGGGCGGUAGGCCUAACACAUGCAAGUCGAACGGCAGCACAGUAAGAGCUUGCUCUUACGGGUGGCGAGUGGCGGACGGGUGAGGAAUACAUCGGAAUCUACUUUUUCGUGGGGGAUAACGUAGGGAAACUUACGCUAAUACCGCAUACGACCUACGGGUGAAAGCAGGGGAUCUUCGGACCUUGCGCGAUUGAAUGAGCCGAUGUCGGAUUAGCUAGUUGGCGGGGUAAAGGCCCACCAAGGCGACGAUCCGUAGCUGGUCUGAGAGGAUGAUCAGCCACACUGGAACUGAGACACGGUCCAGACUCCUACGGGAGGCAGCAGUGGGGAAUAUUGGACAAUGGGCGCAAGCCUGAUCCAGCCAUACCGCGUGGGUGAAGAAGGCCUUCGGGUUGUAAAGCCCUUUUGUUGGGAAAGAAAAGCAGCAGGUUAAUACCCCGCUGUUCUGACGGUACCCAAAGAAUAAGCACCGGCUAACUUCGUU